ACUCCUACGGGAGGCAGCAGUGGGGAAUAUUGCACAAUGGGCGCAAGCCUGAUGCAGCCAUGCCGCGUGUAUGAAGAAGGCCUUCGGGUUGUAAAGUACUUUCAGCAGUGAGGAAGGUGGGUAUGUUAAUAGCAUAUCUUNAUGUAUGCUGCAGAAGAAGCACCGGCUAACUCCGUGCCAGCAGCCGCGGUAAUACGGAGGGUGCGAGCGUUAAUCGGAAUUACUGGGCGUAAAGCGCAUGCAGGUGGUUUGUUAAGUCAGAUGUGAAAGCCCGGGGCUCAACCUCGGAAUUGCAUUUGAAACUGGCAAACUAGAGUACUGUAGAGGGGGGUAGAAUUUCAGGUGUAGCGGUGAAAUGCGUAGAGAUCUGAAGGAAUACC
This 380-nucleotide ribosomal RNA is filed under the name uncultured bacterium. Its description in RNAcentral is "bacterial SSU rRNA". It matches the Rfam family "Bacterial small subunit ribosomal RNA", at positions 335 to 710 of the family's 1533-position model. The record is from RNAcentral.